GGAUUAGAUACCCUGGUAGUCCACGCAGUAAACGAUGAAUACUAAUUGUUGGCGAUAUACAGUCAGUGAUACAGCGAAAGCGUUAAGUAUUCCACCUGGGGAGUACGCCGGCAACGGUGAAACUCAAAGGAAUUGACGGGGGCCCGCACAAGCGGAGGAACAUGUGGUUUAAUUCGAUGAUACGCGAGGAACCUUACCCGGGCUUGAACGUAGGGAGACAGAUUGGGAAACCAGUUCUCUAGCAAUAGCUGCCUACGAGGUGCUGCAUGGUUGUCGUCAGCUCGUGCCG
RNAcentral lists this ribosomal RNA (289 nucleotides) under uncultured bacterium. Its description in RNAcentral is "partial 16S ribosomal RNA". It matches the Rfam family "Bacterial small subunit ribosomal RNA", at positions 775 to 1067 of the family's 1533-position model. The record is from RNAcentral.